This 253-nucleotide ribosomal RNA is filed under the name uncultured bacterium. RNAcentral's name for it is "partial 16S ribosomal RNA". It matches the Rfam family "Bacterial small subunit ribosomal RNA", at positions 524 to 776 of the family's 1533-position model. The record is from RNAcentral.
UACGAAGGGGGCUAGCGUUGCUCGGAAUCACUGGGCGUAAAGCGAACGUAGGCGGCUUCUUAAGGCAGGGGUGAAAUCCUGGGGCUCAACCCCAGAACUGCCCUUGAUACUGAGGAGCUUGAGUCCGGGAGAGGUGAGUGGAACUCCGAGUGUAGAGGUGAAAUUCGUAGAUAUUCGGAAGAACACCAGUGGCGAAGGCGGCUCACUGGCCCGGUUCUGACGCUGAGGUGCGAAAGAGUGGGGAGCAAACAGG